UGCUCGAAACACUUUCAUUAGUCACCAAGAAAAUGCAGACGCAGCCAAGAACUGCCAUUUGACUUGGCUCUGGUAAAAUCUUAUCUAACUGAGAACAGAGAGCACAGAAACAACGAAGAAAAAACAAGCCAGCAGCGAGUAUGAGCCUGACCUGAACAAAGGGGGACAAGCAACCAGGAGGCCGGACACCAGAACGGCCAGAAAGGUACCAUGGUCAGAGUCCGAGCCUACCGGAUCCCGGAGAGCCAGAGGGAAGCCGUCCGGGAAGAGACCUGAACAAACUGCUUUAAAAGGGAGACAAGCAACCAGGAGGCCGGACAUCAGAACGGCCAGAAAGGUCUCCCUGAUCUGGUUUAUGCUACUCUGAGCUACCUAGUUUCCUGUUUCUGGUCUGAUGUCCCCCACCCCUGCUGU
Molecule: long non-coding RNA, 414 nt
Organism: Polyodon spathula (Mississippi paddlefish)
Lineage: Eukaryota; Metazoa; Chordata; Actinopteri; Acipenseriformes; Polyodontidae
Exons: 6
Source: RefSeq, a predicted model, not a curated record